GACGAACGCUGGCGGCGUGCUUAACACAUGCAAGUCGAACGGAAAGGCCCUGCUUUUGUGGGGUGCUCGAGUGGCGAACGGGUGAGUAACACGUGAGUAACCUGCCCUUGACUUUGGGAUAACUUCAGGAAACUGGGGCUAAUACCGGAUAGGAGCUCCUGCUGCAUGGUGGGGGUUGGAAAGUUUCGGCGGUUGGGUAUGGACUCGCGGCUUAUCAGCUUGUUGGUGGGGUAGUGGCUUACCAAGGCUUUGACGGGUAGCCGGCCUGGGAGGGUGACCGGCCACAGUGGGACUGAGAUGCGGCCCAGAGGCAUACGGGAGGCAGCAGUGGGGAAUAUUGCACAAUGGGCGGAAGCAUGAUGCAGCAACGCCGCGUGCGGGAUGACGGCCUUCGGGUUGUAAACCGCUUUCGCCUGUGACGAAGCGUGAGUGACGGUAAUGGGUAAAGAAGCACCGGCUACUACGUG
This 467-nucleotide ribosomal RNA is filed under the name uncultured bacterium. RNAcentral describes it as "partial 16S ribosomal RNA". It matches the Rfam family "Bacterial small subunit ribosomal RNA", at positions 28 to 507 of the family's 1533-position model. The record is from RNAcentral.